RNAcentral lists this transfer RNA (73 nucleotides) under Acidobacteriota bacterium. RNAcentral's name for it is "Acidobacteria bacterium (activated sludge metagenome) tRNA-Trp". It matches the Rfam family "tRNA". Rfam says of the family: Transfer RNA (tRNA) molecules are approximately 80 nucleotides in length. Their secondary structure includes four short double-helical elements and three loops (D, anti-codon, and T loops). Lineage: Bacteria; Pseudomonadati; Acidobacteriota. RNAcentral also lists the same sequence under 1 other name. The record is from RNAcentral.
AGGGGUGUAGCUCAAUUGGCAGAGUGGCGGUCUCCAAAACCGUAGGUUGGGGGUUCGAUCCCCUCCACCCCUG